This 500-nucleotide ribosomal RNA is filed under the name uncultured bacterium. RNAcentral describes it as "partial 16S ribosomal RNA". It matches the Rfam family "Bacterial small subunit ribosomal RNA", at positions 28 to 507 of the family's 1533-position model. The record is from RNAcentral.
GACGAACGCUGGCGGCGUGCUUAACACAUGCAAGUCGAACGGGUCUGCCCUGUUUUUUGCGGGGUGGGUCAGUGGCGAACGGGUGAGUAACACGUGAGUAACCUGCCCCUCACUUCUGGAUAACCGCUUGAAAGGGUGGCUAAUACGGGGUGUUCUGGCUGUGCCGCAUGGUGUGGCUGGGAAAGAUUCACUUUUGUGGUGUUUUGGUGGGGGAUGGGCUCGCGGCCUAUCAGCUUGUUGGUGGGGUGAUGGCCUGCCAAGGCUUUGACGGGUAGCCGGCCUGAGAGGGUGGGCGGUCACACUGGGACUGAGAUACGGCCCAGACUCCUGCGGGAGGCAGCAGUGGGGGGUAUUGCACAAUGGGCGGAAGCCUGAUGCAGCGACGUCGCGUGAGGGAUGGAGGCCUUCGGGUUGUGAACCUUUUUCGCCGGUGAAGAAGGUCCUGCUCUUUGGGGUGGGGUUGACGGUAGCCGGGUUAUGAAGCGCCGGCUAACUACGUG